Molecule: small nucleolar RNA, 134 nt
Organism: Suncus etruscus (white-toothed pygmy shrew)
Lineage: Eukaryota; Metazoa; Chordata; Mammalia; Eulipotyphla; Soricidae
Product: small nucleolar RNA SNORA51
Exons: 1
Source: RefSeq, a predicted model, not a curated record
AAAUUUAAGCAAUGUACCACAGGCGGUGUUCUUUACACUGACUGUAUAGAAAGAGGAGGUAUAGUAAAUACUCCCCGUAUACACUUCAAAUCAGGACCUUUGCCUGAUCUGUAUUGUGAAGGGGGGGGACAAAA